AAUCGCGAUGUAAGAAGCUUGAUUUUGAUACAUAAAGUAAUGGAGAAUCACUAAGAAGUUGAAUAAAUCUCAUAGGAGUUAGGAUGAAGAAGCUAUCCCACUUUCAAAUCAGGUGAUCCCAGUUUUCCUGUUUGGGAAUAUGACAGCUUCUUUGUCAUUCUAAUCAAACCAGGAUGUAUCGUGAUGUAAGAAGCUUGAAUUGUAUACAUAAUGUAGUGGAGAACCAUUAGGAAGUUGAAUAAAUCUCAUAGGAGUUAGGAUGAAGAAGCUAACCCACUUUCAAAUCAGGUGAUCCCAGUUUUCCUGUUUGGGAAUAUGACGGCUUCCUUGUCAUUCUAAUCAAACCAGGAUGAAUCGCGAUGUAAGAAGCUUGAUUUUGAUACAUAAAGUAAUGGAGAAUAACUAGAAAGUUGAAUAAAUCUCAUAGGAGUUAGGAUGAAGAAG
Molecule: long non-coding RNA, 444 nt
Organism: Brassica rapa (field mustard)
Lineage: Eukaryota; Viridiplantae; Streptophyta; Magnoliopsida; Brassicales; Brassicaceae
Source: RefSeq, a predicted model, not a curated record